ACGAACGCUGGCGGCAGGCUUAACACAUGCCAGUCGAGCGCCCCGCAAGGGGAGCGGCAGACGGGUGAGUAACGCGUGGGAACGUACCUUGUGGUUCGGAACAACUCCGGGAAACUGGAGCUAAUACCGGAUAAGCCCUAACGGGGAAAGAUUUAUCGCCGAAAGAUCGGCCCGCGUCUGAUUAGCUAGUUGGUGAGGUAACGGCUCACCAAGGCGACGAUCAGUAGCUGGUCUGAGAGGAUGAUCAGCCACACUGGGACUGAGACACGGCCCAGACUCCUACGGGAGGCAGCAGUUGGGAAUAUUGGACAAUGGGCGCAAGCCUGAUCCAUCCAUGCCGCGUGAGUGAUGAAGGCCUUAGGGUUGUAAAGCUCUUUUGUCCGGGAAGAUAAUGACUGUACCGUAAGAAUAAGCCCCGGCUAACUUCGUG
This 430-nucleotide ribosomal RNA is filed under the name uncultured bacterium. RNAcentral's name for it is "partial 16S ribosomal RNA". It matches the Rfam family "Bacterial small subunit ribosomal RNA", at positions 29 to 507 of the family's 1533-position model. The record is from RNAcentral.